RNAcentral lists this long non-coding RNA (257 nucleotides) under Pan troglodytes (chimpanzee). Its description in RNAcentral is "long non-coding RNA NONPTRT003183". The record is from RNAcentral. Lineage: Eukaryota; Metazoa; Chordata; Mammalia; Primates; Hominidae.
UUUAUAAUAUGAUUACAAAGAAGUCAUUAAAUAACUAGAUGAAAGUAGGUCAUGCAGGUAACCAAGCAAGAUUAUGUUAUGAAUCAAAAUAAUAGUUAAUCCAAACUAGGUUCAAUCAUUUUUAAAUAUCAGAUCAUGUCUGAGUUCAUGUCCUUUGUAGGGACAUGGAUAAAGCUGGAAACCAUCAUUCUGAGCAAACUAUCACAAGGACAGAAAACCAAACACCACAUGUUCUCACUCAUAGGUGGGGAUUGAAC